GACGAACGCUGGCGGCGUGCUUAACACAUGCAAGUCGAACGGAAAGGCCUCUUUCGGGGGGUACUCGAGUGGCGAACGGGUGAGUAACACGUGAGUAACCUGCCCUUGACUUUGGGAUAACUUCAGGAAACUGGGGCUAAUACCGGAUAGGAGCUCCUGCUGCAUGGUGGGGGUUGGAAAGUUUCGGCGGUUGGGGAUGGACUCGCGGCUUAUCAGCUUGUUGGUGGGGUAGUGGCUUACCAAGGCUUUGACGGGUAGCCGGCCUGAGAGGGCGACCGGCCACAUUGGGACUGAGAUACGGCCCAGACUCCUACGGGAGGCAGCAGUGGGGAAUAUUGCACAAUGGGUGGAAGCCUGAUGCAGCAACGCCGUGUGCGGGAUGACGGCCUUCGGGUUGUAAACCGCUUUCGCUCAUGACGAAGCUUUGUGUGACGGUAGUGGGUAAAGAAGCGCCGGCUAACUACGUG
RNAcentral lists this ribosomal RNA (467 nucleotides) under uncultured bacterium. RNAcentral describes it as "partial 16S ribosomal RNA". It matches the Rfam family "Bacterial small subunit ribosomal RNA", at positions 28 to 507 of the family's 1533-position model. The record is from RNAcentral.